AACGAACGCUGGCGGCAUGCCUAACACAUGCAAGUCGAACGAGACCUUCGGGGCUAGUGGCGCACGGGUGCGUAACGCGUGGGAACCUGCCCUUAGGUUCGGAAUAACUCCCCGAAAGGGGUGCUAAUACCGGAUAAUGUCUUCGGACCAAAGAUUUAUCGCCUUUGGAUGGGCCCGCGUUGGAUUAGCUAGUUGGUAGGGUAAAAGCCUACCAAGGCGACGAUCCAUAGCUGGUCUGAGAGGAUGAUCAGCCACACUGGGACUGAGACACGGCCCAGACUCCUACGGGAGGCAGCAGUGGGGAAUAUUGGACCAUGGGCGAAAGCCUGAUCCAGCAAUGCCGCGUGAGUGAUGAAGGCAUUAGGGUUGUAAAGCUCUUUUACCCGGGAUGAUAAUGACAGUACCGGGAGAAUAAGCUCCGGCUAACUCCGUG
RNAcentral lists this ribosomal RNA (433 nucleotides) under uncultured bacterium. Its description in RNAcentral is "partial 16S ribosomal RNA". It matches the Rfam family "Bacterial small subunit ribosomal RNA", at positions 29 to 507 of the family's 1533-position model. The record is from RNAcentral.